CAGACAAGGAUUUAUUAGAUAUAUUUUACAGGGGCUCGUGCGUCAACGAAAAAGUCAUUUGUUUGUGAUCGAACAACACAGGAGGAGUGCAUGUUUUUGCGUGCAGGCCGAUAACCUUUUUGAGCUGGAGCACAGCUGCUUCACAAGCCGUCAGAGGAGAAUCUAUUAACUACGGCCACACUGAUGGAAAGGCUAUUCUCAAUACUGUUGCCCUCAGAGUCUCUAGGAAUAUAGCAGUCAAAAGUGCAAAAGAGACUCUUCUUCAUGCUGAUGAAGAGAGGAGCUCUCAGGAAACACAUAAGAGGAUAUCAAAUCUCUCGCCAGCUCUCCUGGACCACACUGUUCCUCUCUGAGGGUGGGGGGUGCUCUUCAAAGCACUUCUGUUCUGUCUUGUAACUGAAAUAAUUGCCUGUGCUGUUUAUGAGUAGACUGAAUGAAAGCUACAAUGGAGAUAUGGUUCAGGGAAAUGGCAGUCAAAGGAAAGUUUUUAUGGGUGUGUGUGUGUGUGCUGAAUGGAGCUGCUGUCAUUCUCUUCAUAUCUCUGUUUUUAUGAAAAAUUAUAAUCUAAUAUAAUGAUUAUAUAAAUCAAAA
Carassius gibelio (silver crucian carp) is the source of this 591-nucleotide long non-coding RNA. RefSeq lists it as uncharacterized. The record is from RefSeq and is a predicted model, not a curated record. The transcript has 2 exons. NCBI's taxonomy places the organism in Eukaryota, Metazoa, Chordata, Actinopteri, Cypriniformes, Cyprinidae.